Phrynosoma platyrhinos (Desert horned lizard) is the source of this 72-nucleotide non-coding RNA. The record is from the annotation of a GenBank genome assembly. Lineage: Eukaryota; Metazoa; Chordata; Lepidosauria; Squamata; Phrynosomatidae.
GACAGCAUGGCUUAGUGGGUCUAGUGUUGGACUAUGACUCUGGAGACCAGGGUUCGAUUCCCAGCUCGGCCA